UGCAGCAGAAGCCAACACAACAUUGUAAAGCAGUUGCACUGCAAUUAAAAAAUUUUUUUAAAUAAUUUACACAGGUUCGUUGUGGAAAUUUAGAAAACACAGUAUAAAGAAGAAAACAAAAAUCAUCCAUAAAACCUCUGUACUUACUUAACCUUUGAUGUUCUUCAAUAAUCCAAUACCUGAAACAAUGCUUUGUCCGGAAUGGCAAAACCAGUAAACUUUCGUGGAUUGAAAAAAGCAACAUAAAGAUGGAAAGAGUCAUCAUCAGGACUGAUGAAUCAGCUGUGGUGCAGAACACUGUGGCCCUGGAAGACGAGGCCCUGCUGAGUGACAGCCUCCAGGGUAUGUUGUUCAGUGAAAGCGCAGG
RNAcentral lists this long non-coding RNA (367 nucleotides) under Bos grunniens (domestic yak). RNAcentral's name for it is "lncRNA (ENSBGRG00000021659.1)". The record is from RNAcentral. Lineage: Eukaryota; Metazoa; Chordata; Mammalia; Artiodactyla; Bovidae.